CCUACGGGAGGCAGUAGUGAGGAAUAUUGGUCAAUGGACGCAAGUCUGAACCAGCCAAGUAGCGUGCAGGAUGACGGCCCUCCGGGUUGUAAACUGCUUUUAGUUGGGAAUAAAAGGGGGCUCGUGAGCCCCGUAUUGUAUGUACCAUCAGAAAAAGGACCGGCUAAUUCCGUGCCAACAGCCGCUGUAAUACGGAAGGUCCGGGCGUUAUCCGGAUUUUUUGGGUUUAAAGGGAGCUUAGGCCGGCUUUUAAGUGAGCUGUGAAAGUCCGCGGCUCAACCGUGGAAUUGCAGUUGAGAUUGGAGGGCUUGAGUGCACACAGGGAUGCCGGAAUUCAUGGUGUAGCGGUGAAAUGCUUAGAUAUCAUGAAGAACUCCGAUCGCGAAGGCAAGUGUCCGGGGUGCAACUGACGCUGAGGCUCGAAAGUGCGGGUAUCAAACAGGAUUAGAUACCCCUGUAGUC
This 462-nucleotide ribosomal RNA is filed under the name uncultured bacterium. Its description in RNAcentral is "partial 16S ribosomal RNA". It matches the Rfam family "Bacterial small subunit ribosomal RNA", at positions 338 to 795 of the family's 1533-position model. The record is from RNAcentral.